GCGUAGGUGGCAGAGUGGUUAAAUGCACAAGUCUGUAAAACUUGCGGCCUGACGGCCUACGCAGGUUCAAAUCCUGCCCUACGCA
Molecule: transfer RNA, 85 nt
Filed under: Patescibacteria group bacterium
Lineage: Bacteria
Description: tRNA-Tyr
Rfam family: tRNA
About the family: Transfer RNA (tRNA) molecules are approximately 80 nucleotides in length.
Source: RNAcentral